This 171-nucleotide ribosomal RNA is filed under the name Triticum aestivum (bread wheat). RNAcentral describes it as "partial small subunit ribosomal RNA". Lineage: Eukaryota; Viridiplantae; Streptophyta; Magnoliopsida; Poales; Poaceae. The record is from RNAcentral.
AUGCCCAACAUCUUUCAUUAUCACCACGCCAUCAAGUAAUGGAACAAACUUCUUGAAGCCACCUUUGUUAAUGAAAUCUUUUGCGCCCGCAAUAUUGUAUGUUAGAUCUAAGUCGCCAACUAUGAACUUCGUUGGUACCAUUAUCUCAGCUCCCGUCCAUGGCGAAGUUAA